Molecule: transfer RNA, 45 nt
Filed under: Roseovarius indicus
Lineage: Bacteria; Pseudomonadati; Pseudomonadota; Alphaproteobacteria; Rhodobacterales; Roseobacteraceae
Description: tRNA_Thr_TGT
Rfam family: tRNA
About the family: Transfer RNA (tRNA) molecules are approximately 80 nucleotides in length. Their secondary structure includes four short double-helical elements and three loops (D, anti-codon, and T loops).
Source: RNAcentral
UGAUUUGUAAUCAGUAGGUCGGCGGUUCGAAUCCGUCUGGGGGCA